GCGAGAGCUACUGGCAUUUAGUGGGCAGGAGCCAGGCACGCUAGGAUGUUCUAUGAUGCUGGUCAGUCCCACAGAGCGAAUAAUUGAAUCACUGGACACAUGUCGGUGAAAAACUAGUUCAUUAUCAUCUAAGCCUAGAACUAACACUGUUUUACAUAUGAACACAAAGUAUCUUUGCCCAGUUUCCAUAUAUCCUGAAUUUUCCACAAAUGCAGGUACUGUUUCAAUUGAAGGAAGAUUGUACUGUUUUAUUUAAAAAUUAUUAAUAGUUCAUCAUUUUGGAAAAUGAGGUUCCUAGUAGCAAUGCUGCUCAUGGAACUUGAGUUGUGAAAUCAACACACCUUUCCAGUUUGCAUUUGUGGCUCUACUGGGCAAGUGUCUUCCCACCAGUUAGUGUAGCUGUGCGGCGGCAUUUACAUAUUAUAAUACAUUGUUUUAUUAUAAUCAUUUUGCUUUCGUUUGUUGACAGAUCAUGUUUUUUGAAAUUGUGUUUGUAGGUUUACAUAAACAAUUUAGGUUUUGUUAUUUCAGUAUAGGUAAAGGGGGCGUUAGAAAAUACUCGUUAUGAAAAGGAGUUGGGUCUUUCACAGGGUUAUGGAAUGUAGCAGACUCCUUUUAUAGAUGAGCAAAUUGAGACCCAAAGCCGUUAAACAACUUGCCCCCGACAGUGUGAUAUUCUCUCCCUAUCUCGUUCGAAUUUCCGUCUCGAUUUUAAAAAUUGAGAAGGGAGAGAAGUUAUGUGUAUAGUAAAUUAUGUGAUGAGCACGAACUAUUUGAAUUCUGGCAGCAGAAGACCUUUUGUGGGGGUGGUGGAAACCACUGCGUUUUAUUUAAUUUCGUAGGGCUGAGGGUCAGAAGAGAGGGGAAAGCGGUCAUAAGAAACUACGGAUGUGCGGGCGCCGGCUCAAAGCCGGGAAUCCACUAGUAAACACCUUCUUCUAUUUAAGGGCCUGCGGCACCGAAGCCGGGACUUGGGGUGGCCUGCCUAGGAGGGAACCACAGGAAGAGGUUCCACCGACGGUAGAAACCCGGUUCCUCCUGUUCCUCAUCCACCGCAGCGGCCUGAGAGUCACCCCGAGCCCAGGCCGGUAACCCCGCUGCAGCCCCUCCGGCAGGCCCAGGUUGCACCGGCUACAAACAUUCCCGACACCCUUGGGCCCUAGAAGAGCCGUUCGCCACCCGCGGGGUCCCCGCAACGCCGGUGGUCACCGGCCCUAAGCCGCUGGGCGCCCCGCGGGAGGAAACUAGGGGCAAAUGUAGCCCGCAUUCCUGCGGAGAGCCGGGGUCCCGGGAGGGCGCGCCAGCGGCGGUUCCGGAUCAGCGCGUGUCUGUCUCAUUGUUCCCUCACCGCGGGGGGCGGGGGCGGAGGCGCGCGCGCACACGUCGGGGGGUUGGCCAGGAGGGGCCAUUGUGUGUUUCUAGGCGGCGCCCCCGCUGCCUAGGCAACCGCGCAGGAAGGUGUCCGGCCACCUGCGCGCGCCGCCGGCUCCCCUCCAUUUCCCCCCGACUCCCGCCCCGGUCACCA
Molecule: long non-coding RNA, 1525 nt
Filed under: Homo sapiens (human)
Lineage: Eukaryota; Metazoa; Chordata; Mammalia; Primates; Hominidae
Description: HSALNT0281840
Source: RNAcentral